GCCUUUGUGGUUUAACGGCAGCAUACUCGGCGCGUAUUCGAGAGAUCCAGGUUCGAAUCCUGGCGACAGCA
Molecule: transfer RNA, 71 nt
Filed under: Stegodyphus mimosarum
Lineage: Eukaryota; Metazoa; Arthropoda; Arachnida; Araneae; Eresidae
Rfam family: tRNA
About the family: Transfer RNA (tRNA) molecules are approximately 80 nucleotides in length. Their secondary structure includes four short double-helical elements and three loops (D, anti-codon, and T loops).
Source: Rfam by way of RNAcentral